RNAcentral lists this ribosomal RNA (428 nucleotides) under uncultured bacterium. Its description in RNAcentral is "partial 16S ribosomal RNA". It matches the Rfam family "Bacterial small subunit ribosomal RNA", at positions 354 to 796 of the family's 1533-position model. The record is from RNAcentral.
GUGGGGAAUAUUGGGCAAUGGGCGAAAGCCUGACCCAGCAACGCCGCGUGAGGGAAGAAGGUUUUCGGAUUGUAAACCUCUGUCCUUGGUGACGAACACAAUGACGGUAGCCAAGGAGGAAGCCCCGGCUAACUACGUGCCAGCAGCCGCGGUAAUACGUAGGGGGCAAGCGUUGUCCGGAAUGACUGGGCGUAAAGGGCGUGUAGGCGGCCGAUUAAGGCUGGAGUGAAAGUCCUGCUUUCAAGGUGGGAAUUGCUUUGGAGACUGGUUGGCUUGAGUGCGGAAGAGGCAAGUGGAAUGCCCAGUGUAGCGGUGAAAUGCGUAGAGAUUGGGAGGAACACCAGUGGCGAAGGCGACUUGCUGGGCCGUAACUGACGCUGAGGCGCGAAAGCGUGGGGAGCGAACAGGAUUAGAUACCCGGGUAGUCC